RNAcentral lists this ribosomal RNA (392 nucleotides) under uncultured Gammaproteobacteria bacterium. RNAcentral describes it as "bacterial SSU rRNA". It matches the Rfam family "Bacterial small subunit ribosomal RNA", at positions 370 to 779 of the family's 1533-position model. Lineage: Bacteria; Pseudomonadati; Pseudomonadota; Gammaproteobacteria. The record is from RNAcentral.
AAUGGGCGAAAGCCUGAUCCAGCCAUGCCGCGUGAGUGAUGAAGGCCUUAGGGUUGUAAAACUCUUUCAUUGGUGAAGAUAAUGACGGUAACCAAAGAAGAAGCCCCGGCUAACUUCGUGCCAGCAGCCGCGGUAAUACGAAGGGGGCUAGCGUUGUUCGGAAUUACUGGGCGUAAAGCGCGCGUAGGCGGGCUAUCAAGCCAGAGGUGAAAUCCCGGAGCUCAACUCCGGAACUGCCUUUGGAACUGGUAGCCUAGAAUAUCGGAGGGGACAGUGGAAUUCCUAGUGUAGAGGUGAAAUUCGUAGAUAUUAGGAGGAACACCAGUGGCGAAGGCGACUGUCUGGACGAUUAUUGACGCUGAGGUGCGAAAGCGUGGGGAGCAAACAGGAUU